This 1081-nucleotide ribosomal RNA is filed under the name uncultured organism. RNAcentral's name for it is "SSU rRNA". It matches the Rfam family "Bacterial small subunit ribosomal RNA", at positions 48 to 1126 of the family's 1533-position model. The record is from RNAcentral.
UUAACACAUGCAAGUCGAACGAAGAUAUUUCUUAUGAGAGCUUCGGCAGGAUUUUUAUCCAUCUUAGUGGCGGACGGGUGAGUAACGUGUGGGCAACCUGCCCUGUACUGGGGAAUAAUCAUUGGAAACGAUGACUAAUACCGCAUGUGGUCCUCGGAAGGCAUCUUCUGAGGAAGAAAGGAUUUAUUCGGUACAGGAUGGGCCCGCAUCUGAUUAGCUAGUUGGUGAGAUAACAGCCCACCAAGGCGACGAUCAGUAGCCGACCUGAGAGGGUGAUCGGCCACAUUGGGACUGAGACACGGCCCAAACUCCUACGGGAGGCAGCAGUGGGGAAUAUUGCACAAUGGGCGAAAGCCUGAUGCAACAACGCCGCGUGAAGGAUGAAGGGUUUCGGCUCGUAAACUUCUAUCAAUAGGGAAGAAAGAAAUGACGGUACCUAAAUAAGAAGCCCCGGCUAACUACGUGCCAGCAGCCGCGGUAAUACGUAGGGGGCAAGCGUUAUCCGGAAUUACUGGGUGUAAAGGGAGCGUAGGCGGCAUGGUAAGCCAGAUGUGAAAGUCUUGGGCUUAACCCGAGGAUUGCAUUUGGAACUAUCAAGCUAGAGUACAGGAGAGGAAAGCGGAAUUCCUAGUGUAGCGGUGAAAUGCGUAGAUAUUAGGAAGAACACCAGUGGCGAAGGCGGCUUUCUGGACUGAAACUGACGCUGAGGCUCGAAAGCGUGGGGAGCAAACAGGAUUAGAUACCCUGGUAGUCCACGCCGUAAACGAUGAGUGCUAGGUGUCGGGGAGGAAUCCUCGGUGCCGCAGCUAACGCAAUAAGCACUCCACCUGGGGAGUACGACCGCAAGGUUGAAACUCAAAGGAAUUGACGGGGGCCCGCACAAGCGGUGGAGCAUGUGGUUUAAUUCGAAGCAACGCGAAGAACCUUACCAAGGCUUGACAUCCAGAUGAACGCUCUAGAGAUAGAAUUUGUCUUCGGAGCAUCGGAGACAGGUGGUGCAUGGUUGUCGUCAGCUCGUGUCGUGAGAUGUUGGGUUAAGUCCCGCAACGAGCGCAACCCUUAUCUUCAGUAGCCAUCAUUC